Molecule: long non-coding RNA, 535 nt
Organism: Acipenser ruthenus (sterlet)
Lineage: Eukaryota; Metazoa; Chordata; Actinopteri; Acipenseriformes; Acipenseridae
Exons: 3
Source: RefSeq, a predicted model, not a curated record
CGUCCUCGGUCCCGCCUCCCGAGGACAUAAAUAGUCACUGCACGGAGACGAACAGGCUGUGCCACCCCGCUGCAAGCUACGCGCUGUACCGGUCGUGUGCUGCAUUUAGUCCGGACACCAUCUUAGGUUCUCCGCUCCACUGCAAGCUUCGCGCCCCAAUGUCUAGACCUCAAUGCCCGCGGCACCCUCUGGAUCCCAAAGACAUGCAGCUCAUCAUUGUGUGUGCUGCCGGAAAUCUAGGGGAGGAGACAUGCUCUCGGGAGCUGCAGGGAGCUACGGUGUAUUGCACCUCAAGUGGGGGAGGGGGUAUCCAGUGGGAAGUGUUAUUGUAUUUUUUAUGGGAUUUUAGGAAUACCAGUGCGCUGGGUAGGAAAGCACGAUUGUAUUGUUUUAUGGUAUUUAUUUUGGGGGGCGGGGGCGUUUUUAGGUUGCACUCCAAUUUGGGUGCUGUUUUCUAAGGGGGUUUUGGCUUUUUUUCUUGUUACCAAUGAUUCAGCUGUCCUAUUGUUUUUAAAGCUGAUAUACUAAUAAAGAG